RNAcentral lists this ribosomal RNA (655 nucleotides) under Pseudomonas sp. AT-BI-24. RNAcentral describes it as "bacterial SSU rRNA". It matches the Rfam family "Bacterial small subunit ribosomal RNA", at positions 83 to 734 of the family's 1533-position model. Lineage: Bacteria; Pseudomonadati; Pseudomonadota; Gammaproteobacteria; Pseudomonadales; Pseudomonadaceae. The record is from RNAcentral.
CUCUCUGAUUCAGCGGCGGACGGGUGAGUAAUGCCUAGGAAUCUGCCUGGUAGUGGGGGACAACGUCUCGAAAGGGACGCUAAUACCGCAUACGUCCUACGGGAGAAAGCAGGGGACCUUCGGGCCUUGCGCUAUCAGAUGAGCCUAGGUCGGAUUAGCUAGUUGGUGAGGUAAUGGCUCACCAAGGCGACGAUCCGUAACUGGUCUGAGAGGAUGAUCAGUCACACUGGAACUGAGACNCGGUCCAGACUCCUACGGGAGGCAGCAGUGGGGAAUAUUGGACAAUGGGCGAAAGCCUGAUCCAGCCAUGCCGCGUGUGUGAAGAAGGUCUUCGGAUUGUAAAGCACUUUAAGUUGGGAGGAAGGGCAGUAAAUUAAUACUUUGCUGUUUUGACGUUACCGACAGAAUAAGCACCGGCUAACUCUGUGCCAGCAGCCGCGGUAAUACAGAGGGUGCAAGCGUUAAUCGGAAUUACUGGGCGUAAAGCGCGCGUAGGUGGUUUGUUAAGUUGGAUGUGAAAUCCCCGGGCUCAACCUGGGAACUGCAUUCAAAACUGACAAGCUAGAGUAUGGUAGAGGGUGGUGGAAUUUCCUGUGUAGCGGUGAAAUGCGUAGAUAUAGGAAGGAACACCAGUGGCGAAGGCGACCACCUGGAC